RNAcentral lists this ribosomal RNA (588 nucleotides) under uncultured bacterium. RNAcentral describes it as "bacterial SSU rRNA". It matches the Rfam family "Bacterial small subunit ribosomal RNA", at positions 338 to 944 of the family's 1533-position model. The record is from RNAcentral.
CCUACGGGAGGCAGCAGUGAGGAAUUUUCCGCAAUGGGCGAAAGCCUGACGGAGCAAUACCGCGUGAGGGAUGAAGGAUUUUGGUCUGUAAACCUCUUUUCUCAAGAAAGAAGUUCUGACGGUACUUGAGGAAUAAGCAUCGGCUAACUCCGUGCCAGCAGCCGCGGUAAUACGGGGGAUGCAAGCGUUAUCCGGAAUGAUUGGGCGUAAAGCGCCUGUAGGUUGUUUAUUAAGUCCGUUGUUAAAGCCUAGGGCUUAACCCUAGAAAAGCAAUGGAAACUAGUAGACUAGAGUAUGGCAGGGGUAGAGGGAAUUUCUAGCGUAGCGGUGAAAUGCGUAGAUAUUAGAAAGAACACCGGUGGCGAAAGCGCUCUACUGGACCAUUACUGACACUCAGAGGCGAAAGCUAGGGUAGCAAAAGGGAUUAGAUACCCCUGUAGUCCUAGCCGUAAACGAUGGAUACUAGAUGUUGUGCAUUAUGUACAGUAUCGUAGCUAACGCGUUAAGUAUCCCGCCUGGGGAGUACGCUCGCAAGGGUGAAACUCAAAGAAUUGACGGCUGAAGCNCGACGACGACACGAGGAGGUAG